Apis florea (little honeybee) is the source of this 649-nucleotide long non-coding RNA. The record is from RefSeq and is a predicted model, not a curated record. Lineage: Eukaryota; Metazoa; Arthropoda; Insecta; Hymenoptera; Apidae.
AGAGAGAGAGAGAGAGAGAGAGUUACAGAAUUAAAGAGAGAAAGAGAGCGAGAGAGAGAGAGAGAGGGAGAAAGGGGUUGUUAGAAUUCAGAUGCCUUGUGACCUUUUUUUUCCCAUAAAUUCUGAUUAUUUAACCUUAUGCCUCCUGAAUUCAACAUUAAUACUUAUUUUUUAAUUUUUAACCGUUAUCUCCUCUCUGAGUCCAGACUUAAAUAUUACAUGCAAGAAUACUAUGCAAACACACAUAUAAUAAGAAAUAUAAGAGAACUAUACACAUUCAUUCAAUCACUCUGACCGAUUUCAUGUCCGUAACAGAUACAUUAGAGAAAAUUUAGAACAUAUAAAACAUUUUUCCAUUGGAUAAAAUGCUAUAUUUUAUUAUUUUCCUAAUAGCAAAAGUAUCCAAUUAUUAUUCAAAAAGAUUAACACAUACACGUAGAAUUUUUACGAUUGCAAAUGAUACCGCGCAUUAUUACUAUAUAUUUAAUAUGUUUUCAAUCAUUUUUUAUUAUUUUUUUAUUUACUUAAAUCUCUAUAAAUGUUUUUGCGUCCCAAAAUCAAUCAAUCAGCAUAAAUAAAAAGUUACAAAUUUAUGGAUUAAGUGUACAACAUAAAUAAUGGACAAACUUUGGAUUAAAUGAUCUUUUGA